This is a long non-coding RNA of Phyllostomus discolor (pale spear-nosed bat), 1022 nucleotides long. RefSeq lists it as uncharacterized. The record is from RefSeq and is a predicted model, not a curated record. The transcript has 2 exons. NCBI's taxonomy places the organism in Eukaryota, Metazoa, Chordata, Mammalia, Chiroptera, Phyllostomidae.
AAUCUCUUUCCAUCGCCAUUUCUCCCCGCCGUACCCUCUUCUACCUCUCCCUGCCCCUCUUGGCCUCUGGUCAUCACCAUGCUCAUAGACAGUAAACAUGCAUGGAAGGAUAUUGGGACGAAUGAAAGAUUAAUUUGCAAGUGAAAAAAACUAAGGCUUAAAGAAGAGGAGUAACCUUGCCCUGAUCAUAUUAUUAGUAGGUGAUGAAGGCUAUUCUGAAUCUCAGCUGCCUCUGGGUGUUUGAUCAUAACAUAUGGCAGCCUGUAUCAGAGACUCAAGUUCUGCUGGUCCUGCCUCAUACGGAUUAUAAACAAAUGCCUCGAAUGUGUCUUACCCUCUAACUCCCUGUCUCUUGAAUGGGGAUAAUAAUACCUACCUCUCAAGUAAAUAGAUACUAUUUUUCUAUUAUGUGGUUUUUCCUUCCUGCAGAUGUUGUUGAGAAAAGCCCUAGAAUUCACUCUUGCCUGUGGCCAAGAUUUGGGGGUGGGGGCGGGGAGAAGAAGGGAGAAGGUACACAUAACGAGACCUGUUCAUCUUAAGUCUCAAGGGCAGGAGUUCCUACUCUUUUCUGUGAAAAUGGUUGCUUUGAGAAGUUCCAAUUGGAAAACUGUUGAAUAGUUUCUGCUUCCACAUCAUUGAGCUACAAUGACUGGCCACACUCCUGACUCUGAUGGUCUGUGAAUGAAAGAGAAAAAGUCAUAUCCAGCAGAAAACUCAAAACCGUAGGGUCCCAGCAUACCGUGCAUUCUGCUGUCAGAAUUGUAGAGAAAGGGGUUUCCAGAAGGAGGGUGUGCAUGCUUAUCCUCAGCUUAACAGAGGUGAAAUCCAGGUCCAAAGCUUUUUAACCUGUGUGUUCUUAGCCUUUUCCAUUCCUACCAGUGUCCACCCCAGGGAAAGUCACUGCUCUUUGGCUGUUCCAUAUUUUUCUGCCUCAAAGGAAACUUUAACUUUUUUAGUAAAAGUACAACCAUCCUGUAUGAUAUUGACACCAAGCCAGCUGUAGUGUGAAGCUGGGUCAAAAG